UACAGAGGGUGCGAGCGUUGUUCGGAAUUAUUGGGCGUAAAGGGCGCGUAGGCGGUGCCACAAGUCACUUGUGAAAUCUCCGGGCUUAACUCGGAGCCUGCAGGCGAAACUGUGGUGCUGGAGUGUGGGAGAGGUGCGUGGAAUUCCCGGUGUAGCGGUGAAAUGCGCAGAUAUCAGGAAGAACACCUAUGGCGAAGGCAGCUCUCUGGGACGGUACUGACGCUGAGACGCGAAAGCGUGGGGAGCGAACAGG
RNAcentral lists this ribosomal RNA (253 nucleotides) under uncultured bacterium. RNAcentral describes it as "partial 16S ribosomal RNA". It matches the Rfam family "Bacterial small subunit ribosomal RNA", at positions 524 to 776 of the family's 1533-position model. The record is from RNAcentral.